RNAcentral lists this transfer RNA (58 nucleotides) under Schistocephalus solidus. It matches the Rfam family "tRNA", at positions 1 to 57 of the family's 71-position model. Rfam says of the family: Transfer RNA (tRNA) molecules are approximately 80 nucleotides in length. Their secondary structure includes four short double-helical elements and three loops (D, anti-codon, and T loops). The record is from Rfam by way of RNAcentral. Lineage: Eukaryota; Metazoa; Platyhelminthes; Cestoda; Diphyllobothriidea; Diphyllobothriidae.
GAGCUCGUGGCUCAAUGGUAGAGCGUUCGACUCAAAUACCAAAGGUCGCGGGUUUGAA